This 510-nucleotide ribosomal RNA is filed under the name uncultured bacterium. RNAcentral's name for it is "bacterial SSU rRNA". It matches the Rfam family "Bacterial small subunit ribosomal RNA", at positions 28 to 526 of the family's 1533-position model. The record is from RNAcentral.
GAUGAACGCUAGCGGCAGGCCUAACACAUGCAAGUCGAGGGGCAGCAUAGAACUACUUUCGGGUAGUUUUGAUGGCGACCGGCGCACGGGUGCGUAACGCGUAUGCAACCUACCUUUAACUGGGGGAUAAUUCGGAGAAAUCUGGUCUAAUACCCCAUAUUAAUAUUUAAGGCAUCUUAUAUAUUUGAAAGCUCCGGCGGUUAAAGAUGGGCAUGCGUUGUAUUAGCAAGUUGGUGAGGUAACGGCUCACCAAUGCUACGAUACAUAGGGGGACUGAGAGGUUUACCCCCCACACUGGAACUGAGACACGGUCCAGACUCCUACGGGAGGCAGCAGUGAGGAAUAUUGGUCAAUGGACGCAAGUCUGAACCAGCCAUGCCGCGUGCAGGAAGACGGCUCUACGAGUUGUAAACUGCUUUUGUAUUAGGGUAAACCCGGGUACGUGUACCCGGCUGAAAGUAUAAUACGAAUAAGGAUCGGCUAACUCCGUGCCAGCAGCCGCCGUAACAC